This 21-nucleotide non-coding RNA is filed under the name Caenorhabditis elegans. The record is from RNAcentral. Lineage: Eukaryota; Metazoa; Nematoda; Chromadorea; Rhabditida; Rhabditidae.
UUUUAUGAUUUCUGUUGUCGA